UGAAGUCGUAACAAGGUAGCCGUAGGGGAACCUGCGGCUGGAUUACCUCCUUUCUAAGGAAGACCAAAAUAUUUCUUUUGGUCUUAAAAAAUAAGUUAAUGUGGCCGUCCUCAUUUCUCUUCUUAUUAAUUAAAGUGUCUCAUAAAUGCUUAGGGGGCCGGUAGCUCAGGUGGUUAGAGCGCACCCCUGAUAAGGGUGAGGUCGCACGUUCGAGUCGUGCUCGGCCCACCACUUUCAUGGGGGAUUAGCUCAGCUGGGAGAGCGCCUGAUUUGCAUUCAGGAGGUCAGCGGUUCGAUCCCGCUAUCCUCCACCAAUUUUGACACUUUUAGUUUUUUUAAAUUGUAAAUAAUGAAUAUCAAUUUUGAUUGUUCAAACAGUAUGAACAAUCAAACAAUAUCUAUAUCCGAUUGUUCGAAUAGAAGAACAAUCAAUAAAUAUUCGAAUAGAUGAAUAUUUAAUUAAAAAUUUAAUUUAGACAGAAAAUUAUUUUCUGUGCAUAAAUCAAGCGUUUAAGGGCGUAUGGCGGAUGCCUAGGCACUGAAAGGCGAUGAAGGACGUGGUAUACUGCGAUAAGUUUCGGGGAGCUGUAUGCAGGCUUUGAUCCGAAAAUUU
RNAcentral lists this unclassified non-coding RNA (613 nucleotides) under uncultured marine bacterium. RNAcentral describes it as "partial contains 16S ribosomal RNA, 16S-23S ribosomal RNA intergenic spacer, and 23S ribosomal RNA". The stretch from base 501 to 613 matches the Rfam family "Bacterial large subunit ribosomal RNA", at positions 1 to 113 of the family's 2925-position model. The record is from RNAcentral.